Molecule: transfer RNA, 70 nt
Filed under: Dipodomys ordii (Ord's kangaroo rat)
Lineage: Eukaryota; Metazoa; Chordata; Mammalia; Rodentia; Heteromyidae
Rfam family: tRNA
About the family: Transfer RNA (tRNA) molecules are approximately 80 nucleotides in length.
Source: Rfam by way of RNAcentral
GGGAAUGUGGCUUAGUGGUAGAGUGUUUGCCUUGCAUGCAUGUUGCCCUGGGUUUGAUUCCUCAGUACCA